This 465-nucleotide ribosomal RNA is filed under the name Vreelandella stevensii. RNAcentral describes it as "partial 16S ribosomal RNA". It matches the Rfam family "Bacterial small subunit ribosomal RNA", at positions 338 to 795 of the family's 1533-position model. The record is from RNAcentral. Lineage: Bacteria; Pseudomonadati; Pseudomonadota; Gammaproteobacteria; Oceanospirillales; Halomonadaceae.
CCUACGGGCGGCAGCAGUGGGGAAUAUUGGACAAUGGGGGGAACCCUGAUCCAGCCAUGCCGCGUGUGUGAAGAAGGCCCUCGGGUUGUAAAGCACUUUCAGUGAGGAAGAACGCCUGGUGGUUAAUACCCAUCAGGAAAGACAUCACUCACAGAAGAAGCACCGGCUAACUCCGUGCCAGCAGCCGCGGUAAUACGGAGGGUGCGAGCGUUAAUCGGAAUUACUGGGCGUAAAGCGCGCGUAGGUGGCUUGAUAAGCCGGUUGUGAAAGCCCCGGGCUCAACCUGGGAACGGCAUCCGGAACUGUCAAGCUAGAGUGCAGGAGAGGAAGGUAGAACUCCCGGUGUAGCGGUGAAAUGCGUAGAGAUCGGGAGGAAUACCAGUGGCGAAGGCGGCCUUCUGGACUGACACUGACACUGAGGUGCGAAAGCGUGGGUAGCAAACAGGAUUAGAUACCCUAGUAGUC